UGGGGAAUAUUGGACAAUGGGCGCAAGCCUGAUCCAGCCAUGCCGCGUGAGUGACGAAGGUCUUCGGAUUGUAAAGCUCUUUUGCCAGGGACGAUAAUGACGGUACCUGGAGAAUAAGCCCCGGCUAACUUCGUGCCAGCAGCCGCGGUAAUACGAAGGGGGCUAGCGUUGUUCGGAAUUACUGGGCGUAAAGCGCACGUAGGCGGAUUUGUUAGUCAGGGGUGAAAUCCCGGGGCUCAACCUCGGAACUGCCUUUGAUACUGCAAGUCUAGAGUCCGGAAGAGGUGAGUGGAAUUCCUAGUGUAGAGGUGAAAUUCGUAGAUAUUAGGAAGAACACCAGUGGCGAAGGCGGCUCACUGGUCCGGUACUGACGCUGAGGUGCGAAAGCGUGGGGAGCAAACA
RNAcentral lists this ribosomal RNA (402 nucleotides) under uncultured Hyphomicrobium sp. RNAcentral describes it as "partial 16S ribosomal RNA". It matches the Rfam family "Bacterial small subunit ribosomal RNA", at positions 355 to 774 of the family's 1533-position model. The record is from RNAcentral. Lineage: Bacteria; Pseudomonadati; Pseudomonadota; Alphaproteobacteria; Hyphomicrobiales; Hyphomicrobiaceae.